Molecule: long non-coding RNA, 675 nt
Filed under: Gouania willdenowi (blunt-snouted clingfish)
Lineage: Eukaryota; Metazoa; Chordata; Actinopteri; Blenniiformes; Gobiesocidae
Description: lncRNA (ENSGWIG00000021628.1)
Source: RNAcentral
GAAACUACUUGGAAAUCAAAGUUCGAGCGUUUCUCGAGUCUGAGCACGUGCACAGGCGUGUGCUCACUUCUAUUGUUUGUUUAUUUGUGUGAAUGCGGAGUUCUAAAGUGCACGUUUCAUGAUGACGGUGACGGACGGAUGUUGACGUCAUCUCACACAUCUGUGACGCGUUGGUUGGUUUAAACUCGUGCUCCACGUGUCCAUUCUCUCCGUAUCCUCUAACUUUCCACUCUCUAGGAAGAAGUUUGUGUAUCGAGCUUCCUGUUUGGACUUCCCUCCUCACAGCGGCUUCUUCUCAUUGGCCAACAACAAAGGACACGCCCCUCUCAUCAGCAGCUCAUCAGGGCGAUCUCUUUGUGAUUACCAUAAGUGUUAGUAUAUUCGCGCACAAGAAAACAACGUGCGGUUGAUUUGACCAGGGAUUUAAGCCACUAUAGUCACUGAAGUAGUGAGACUCACCUGCUCUCAGUUCUGCUGCUGCACGUGAAGGUUGAUGUGGACUCUGAACCUUCGUCUGAAUAAUCUGUGUGGAACUCCCACCGACUCAAAGACCAGGGAGUGUGUGUGUGUGUGUGUGUGAUACACAACAGAUACACAAAGUCCUCACAAACAGACAGGAAAUGUACACAAAAAGACUGUAUAAACAGUAAUAAAUGAAGAGGCUACACAGAAACA